Molecule: long non-coding RNA, 1041 nt
Filed under: Homo sapiens (human)
Lineage: Eukaryota; Metazoa; Chordata; Mammalia; Primates; Hominidae
Description: PREDICTED lncRNA (TCONS_00063818)
Source: RNAcentral
GAGCUCAUUGAUCAUCAUAACAGAGUCUAUUGAAAGUCCUCAGCAGGCGGUGUGACGAUGUGACCAGCUCUGGCCAAGGAGCUGUAGGCAGAAGUGUCUUGCAGCAGCUCCUGUAAAUCUUAAAAGACAGCUGGUGCGUGUCUUUUUUCCUUUUUUUUUCCCUUCCCCCUUCCUGCUGCGCUGAAUAUGGAUAUGGUGAGUGAAUCUAGAGCAGCCAUUUGGAGGUAUGAAGAGAUCUUGGAAAUAGAGGCCAUGUGUGUUGAAACAAGACCGAACAACUCCAAGUUCCUGAAGACUUCAUUUCACCAACCCAGAACCUCCUUGAUCAUCACAGUGGUCGAACCAUUUUACAUUUUCACCAGCAAUGAAGGAGGGUUCCUGUUGCUCUACCAUUUGGUACUGUCAGCGUUUUGGAUAUUAGCCGUCCUAAUAGCCUUUGCAUGGAUGAUUGUCUGUCCUCUGUUGGGCCCCUUCUGAAGAGUUGGAGUUGGACUCUGAAUACCUCAAGAGUGGGAGAUUGGUCUUGCCAAUCAGAGAAGCUCCAGGGCUAGCCUAGUGCCUGGCACAUGCUUUAUACAAUUAUUCCCAAAUCUUCUAAACUGACAGUGAGGGAGAGUAAUUUGAAAGGACUGCUCAACUCAACGUCAUUUGAAGAUUUGCACCACAGCUGCAUUUUUCCAAUUUCCUGGCAUCUAUUCUGCUCUCCUGGACUUUUCAAAAACAAUUUCUUUCAGAUCCCUGGAGGCCUCUCCCAGGGCCUGUGGUGUGGAGAGUUGGACUUGACCCUACUGUAAGAGACCCAACUUCCAAAGACUGCAUCAGAUGAAAGGCUCUCCAUAUAGACUACAGACUUGUCAGCUGGUUAAGGAGGCAAACAGAACAGUCUGCUACAAACUCCAGUCCAUGUAUCUGUGCUGAAAAUAAAAGGAGUCUUCAGGAAUCAAAGAAGAAAAUAUUUUUAUAAAGAAAUUUUAUUGCAUAAUUCUUGUAUACAAUAAACAUAGGAAAAGGGUUUUUAAUGAAAAUUCAUGUCAUUUUUCA